Molecule: ribosomal RNA, 413 nt
Filed under: uncultured bacterium
Lineage: Bacteria
Description: bacterial SSU rRNA
Rfam family: Bacterial small subunit ribosomal RNA
Source: RNAcentral
GAUGAACGCUAGCGGCAGGCCUAACACAUGCAAGUCGAGGGGCAGCACGGGUAAUAGCAAUAUUACUUGGUGGCGACCGGCGCACGGGUGCGUAACACGUAUGCAAUCUGCCUUAUACUGGAGGAUAACCCCGCAGAAUCGGGCAAUACGGCUUAUCAUCAAUACAUCAUGACCUGGCAUCAGGAUGUGAUUAAAGCUCCGGCGGUAUAAGAUGAGCAUGCGCCCAAUUAGCUUGUUGGUGAGGUAACGGCUCACCAAGGCUACGAUUGGUAGGGGUUCUGAGAGGAUGAUCCCCCACACUGGUACUGAGACACGGACCAGACUCCUACGGGAGGCAGCAGUGAGGAAUAUUGCGCAAUGGACGAAGUCUGACGCAGCCAUGCCGCGUGCAGGAUGACGGCCCUAUGGGUUGU